GCAAGUCGAGCGCGAAUAGGGGCAACCCUUAGUAGAGCGGCGCACGGGUGCGUAACACGUGGAUAAUCUGCCUGGAUGCUCGGGAUAACCAGUCGAAAGAUUGGCUAAUACCGGAUAAGCCCACGGUUUCUUCGGAGACUGAGGGAAAAGGUGGCCUCUGUAUACAAGCUAUCACAACCAGAUGAGUCCGCGGCCCAUCAGCUAGUUGGCGGGGUAAUGGCCCACCAAGGCGACGACGGGUAGCUGGUCUGAGAGGACGAUCAGCCACACUGGAACUGAGACACGGUCCAGACUCCUACGGGAGGCAGCAGUGGGGAAUUUUGCGCAAUGGGCGAAAGCCUGACGCAGCAACGCCGCGUGUGUGAUGAAGGUCUUCGGAUUGUAAAGCACUUUCGACCGGGACGAAAACCCGUAGCCCAACACGCUACGGCUUGACGGUACCGGGAGAAGAAGCACCGGCUAACUCUGUGCCAGCAGCCGCGGUAAUACAGAGGGUGCAAGCGUUGUUCGGAAUUAUUGGGCGUAAAGCGCGUGUAGGCGGCGUGACAAGUCGGGUGUGAAAGCCCUCAGCUCAACUGAGGAAGUGCGCCCGAAACUGUCGUGCUUGAGUGCCGGAGAGGGUGGCGGAAUU
This 631-nucleotide ribosomal RNA is filed under the name Myxococcus sp. Its description in RNAcentral is "bacterial SSU rRNA". It matches the Rfam family "Bacterial small subunit ribosomal RNA", at positions 57 to 668 of the family's 1533-position model. The record is from RNAcentral. Lineage: Bacteria; Pseudomonadati; Myxococcota; Myxococcia; Myxococcales; Myxococcaceae.